This 601-nucleotide long non-coding RNA is filed under the name Rattus norvegicus (Norway rat). RNAcentral's name for it is "long non-coding RNA NONRATT022140". The record is from RNAcentral. Lineage: Eukaryota; Metazoa; Chordata; Mammalia; Rodentia; Muridae.
AAGAUCUGUUGAAAGAGCGCCAGAAGGACCUAAAGUUUCUCUCAGAAGAGGAGUAUUGGAAAUUACAAAUAUUUUUUACAAAGUUAUCUGCUGUGCCUGAUGCUGAGGAAGUUAGGAUCUCCUGACGGAGUUACAGAGGACUAUGAGCCACCAUUUAUCCAAGCAUUAGGGGAACAUCUUAAAUUAAGACAACAAGUUAUUGCUACUGCUACAGUCUAUUUCAAGAGAUUCUAUGCCAGGUAUUCUCUGAAAAGUAUAGAUCCUGUAUUAAUGGCUCCUACAUGUGUGUUUCUGGCAUCCAAAGUAGAGGAAUUUGGUGUCGUCUCAAAUACAAGAUUGAUUGCUGCUACUACUUCUGUAUUAAAAACUAGAUUUUCAUAUGCCUUUCCAAAGGAAUUUCCUUACAGGAUGAAUCAUAUACUAGAAUGUGAAUUUUACCUCUUAGAAUUAAUGGACUGUUGCUUGAUAGUGUAUCAUCCUUAUAGACCUUUGCUCCAGUAUGUGCAGGACAUGGGCCAAGAAGACGUGUUGCUUCCCCUUGCAUGGAGGAUAGUGAAUGACACCUACAGGACGGAUCUUUGUCUUCUGUAUCCUCCUUUCA